CAACCAAAUCAGCUGAGUCGCCGCCUUGUUUAUUCUAGGUUAUGGCAUCAUGCAUCUCUUCAAAAUUCCGCCCAGUUUGAGAAAAAUUGAAUAAACUCCAUUUUAAAUUUCUUGAAAAAUUAUCUGUGAAAAUGAAAUUCUUGUGGUUCUUAGUGAAUUUUUAUUACUUUAUACCUCGACGGCGUUUGGCAAUGCGCUCGAUGAUAUGCGAAUGGCAAGCCUCAUAGACCCCACCAACGUGCAUCCAUCAAAAAUCAUCGAUCCGAAAUUUCUCUCCAUGCUUGGUGCACACGGGGGAAAUAUCGAGACCUCAAGGCAAUCUAUGAAAAUCCCCGACGAGAGCACCAAGGUUGUCUUAAAGGAAAAAGAGCAUGAAGAGGGCCAAUCCGAAGCGCAUAUCCCAUCCGAAGAAAAAGUGUCCCAAGGGAUCCACGUCUCGCCUCAUCCCAAUGACAGAGAGGAAAGUGACUUAAAAGAAACGGCAGCAAGACAAGGGAAGGAUGAAGAGAAGUCCACGGAGGAGGACUCUCAUGAGCCGAAAGCCAGCAAUAUCCAUGAAGAAACCAUGGGGCCGCACGAGCCUGAGAAUGAGAGAACGAGCUCGGGAGACCGCAGUGCAAGUUCAAACCAUGGAGGCCAGCGCGAAAACGAAGAGCCCAACGUGACCAGGAACCGGUUCAACCAAGCCCAACCUCCAUCCGAACCGGAAGUGAUGACCGAAAGAGCGACGACGGAAGAAAGCAACCUCACUGGAAAUCGAUACGGUCAGGAUCGAGACCUCAUCGAGUCGGACGGUAGCUCGAAGAAUGGUCCCGAGGAGAGUAGUCUGCAUGGGAAUAAAUACUCUCAGACGAUAGAGCACGCGAAACCGGUAUCCAGGAUUCCUCCUUCCGGUAACGUCUCGCAGGUUGCGUCCACGACACAACCUACGACAACGCCAGCAGCGACUCAUCCGACUGCGAACGCAAGUAUGACAGCGAUUGCCAACGACAGCCUCACGUCGGCCCGGAAGAAUCCUCCGGAACUAAAGGAACCGACUCCCGGACCUUUCGGGCUCAUGGACCUCGCGAACCUGCCGGCCGGCAGUUCUCCGGUCCACGUGCGAGCCCAACCGCUUCCGCACUCGCACUCCCACUUGGUCCAAGACGACGAAGUAAGCGGUGACUCGGAUCAAGAGAUCGAACCCAUCAGAGCGUUCGAUCUGGUAAAGAGGAAGCACAAACACCUGACGGAGAAAAAACCGAACUCACGUCCUCUAAUGGUAACCAACGGUAAGAGAUUCAGACCAGUCGCGAGUCAUGGAUUCUUGGCGCUCCCCUCGGCGCAGGUCACGAGCACGAGGGCUCCCGAGGAAUUCGAGCUGACCCAAACACCCGGAGACAUCGCUAUCGAUGAAGUCUUCGAAGAGACCAACUUAACGGGCUCCAGAUUCCACCAGGGAACUGGCGACAACUCGCCGAGCGAUGAGACCAUUGUCACGGACAUCGUCACGGAAGAGACCGAUUUAACCGGCUCCAAAUACCGUCAGAUCCCCGACAAUUCGACGAUCUCGACGACGGAGGAUACGGAUCUAACGGGGACGAGGUACCACCAGGACAACGCGAAUCACUCGUGGGUCAACUCGCCCGAAGUCGGGAACUCUAGCCGCGGUCAGGAAGAAGACCCUGGGGAGGGGGAUGACGGAAGUCGCUUGACUGGGAACAAGUUCAGCCAAGGGCUCAAACUCCCGGAGUCCACCACGACAUCGUCCACGACCACGACGACCACCACCCAGGCCACCACGGUAAAAACCUGGCAGCCGCCCGAUGAUCUGAAGCUAGUCAACGACGAAAAAAACAUCAUGAAAUGUUGGGGAGAAAGUCGACGAGUAGUUUUUUAUACGGGAAUGCGAGGAGAGUAG
Molecule: long non-coding RNA, 1900 nt
Filed under: Bemisia tabaci
Lineage: Eukaryota; Metazoa; Arthropoda; Insecta; Hemiptera; Aleyrodidae
Description: lncRNA ENSSSA2NGG007520
Source: RNAcentral